AUGGCGACUUCCAUGAGUUGCCUGCUGGUGCUAUGCCUUGUCUGUCCCCUCCUUGCUGGUGUCGUACGUGCCAACCCAUGGUACGGCUUGUUCCCACAGUUUUACGAUCACUCUUGCCCGAAGGCAAAGGAGAUUGUGCAAUCCAUCGUGGCGCAGGCUGUUGCCCAGGAGACCAGGAUGGCAGCAUCCUUGGUCAGGCUGCAUUUCCAUGACUGCUUUGUCAAGGGGUGCGACGCAUCCGUGCUACUGGACAACAGCAGCAGCAUAGUCAGCGAGAAGGGGUCCAACCCCAAUCUGAACUCCCUCCGGGGGUUCGAGGUCGUCGACCAGAUCAAGGUCGCCCUUGAGACAGCCUGCCCCGGUACUGUCUCCUGCGCCGAUAUCCUCGCCCUCGCCGCCCGUGACUCUACUGUCCUUGUUGGUGGCCCUUACUGGGACGUGCCACUCGGCCGCAGGGACUCUCUGGGUGCAAGCAUCCAGGGAUCAAACAAUGACAUCCCUGCCCCCAACAACACCCUACCCACCAUCAUCACCAAGUUCAAUCGCCUCGGUCUCAACAUCGUCGAUGUCGUCGCCCUCUCAGGUGGCCACACCAUCGGCUUGUCCCGCUGCACCAGCUUCCGGCAGAGGCUGUACAACCAGUCGGACAACGGCCUGGCCGACAGCACACUGGAUAUGUCCUACGCUGCGCAACUAAGGCAGGGGUGCCCCCGCUCCGGUGGCGACAACAAUCUCUUCCCACUCGACGUCGUCAGCUCGACCAAGUUUGACAACUUCUACUUCAAGAACAUCCUUGCCGGUAGGGGUCUCCUCAGCUCUGACGAGGUCCUGCUUACCAAGAGCGCGGAAACAGCAGCACUUGUGAAGGCGUACGCGAAUGAUGUGCAUCUCUUCUUCCAGCACUUUGCACAGUCAAUGGUGAACAUGGGCAACAUCAUGCCACUGACCGGGUCACAGGGGGAGAUCAGGAAAGACUGCAGGAGGCUCAACAACUAUCACUGA
RNAcentral lists this ribosomal RNA (1002 nucleotides) under Triticum aestivum (bread wheat). RNAcentral's name for it is "partial small subunit ribosomal RNA". The record is from RNAcentral. Lineage: Eukaryota; Viridiplantae; Streptophyta; Magnoliopsida; Poales; Poaceae.